GAUGAACGCUGGCGGCGUGCCUAAUACAUGCAAGUCGAGCGAACAGACGAGAGUGCUUGCACUCUCUGACGUUAGCGGCGGACGGGUGAGUAACACGUGGGUAACCUACCUAUAAGACUGGGAUAACUUCGGGAAACCGGAGCUAAUACCGGAUAAUAUUUAGCUUCGCAUGAAGCAAUAGUGAAAGGCGGUUCUGCUGUCACUUAUAGAUGGACCCGCGGUGUAUUAGCUAGUUGGUGGGGUAACGGCUCACCAAGGCAACGAUACAUAGCCGACCUGAGAGGGUGAUCGGCCACACUGGGACUGAGACACGGCCCAGACUCCUACGGGAGGCAGCAGUAGGGAAUCUUCCGCAAUGGACGAAAGUCUGACGGAGCAAUGCCGCGUGAGUGAAGAAGGUUUUCGGAUCGUAAAACUCUGUUGUAAGGGAAGAACAAGUACGUUAGUAACUGAACGUACCUUGACGGUACCUUACCAGAAAGCCACGGCUAACUACGUG
This 499-nucleotide ribosomal RNA is filed under the name uncultured bacterium. RNAcentral describes it as "partial 16S ribosomal RNA". It matches the Rfam family "Bacterial small subunit ribosomal RNA", at positions 28 to 507 of the family's 1533-position model. The record is from RNAcentral.